AUUGAACGCUGGCGGCAUGCCUUACACAUGCAAGUCGAACGGCAGCAUGAUCUAGCUUGCUAGAUUGAUGGCGAGUGGCGAACGGGUGAGUAAUACAUCGGAACGUGCCCUGUAGUGGGGGAUAACUAGUCGAAAGAUUAGCUAAUACCGCAUACGACCUGAGGGUGAAAGUGGGGGACCGCAAGGCCUCAUGCUAUAGGAGCGGCCGAUGUCUGAUUAGCUAGUUGGUGAGGUAAAGGCUCACCAAGGCGACGAUCAGUAGCUGGUCUGAGAGGACGAUCAGCCACACUGGGACUGAGACACGGCCCAGACUCCUACGGGGGGCAGCAGUGGGGAAUUUUGGACAAUGGGCGAAAGCCUGAUCCAGCAAUGCCGCGUGUGUGAAGAAGGCCUUCGGGUUGUAAAGCACUUUUGUCCGGAAAGAAAUGGCUCUGGUUAAUACCUGGGGUCGAUGACGGUACCGGAAGAAUAAGGACCGGCUAACUACGUG
RNAcentral lists this ribosomal RNA (490 nucleotides) under uncultured bacterium. Its description in RNAcentral is "partial 16S ribosomal RNA". It matches the Rfam family "Bacterial small subunit ribosomal RNA", at positions 30 to 507 of the family's 1533-position model. The record is from RNAcentral.